AUCAUGACGGAGCCUCAGGUUUUGUGUGGGGAGAAACAUAUUAUUGUCGGUCACGACAUAAUGUGCAUUCUCUCCAGUCUCGUCUUUGGCCCCGCCCCUCUUGUUCUCUCGUUUAGCUUCCCGCCUGUGUUUCAUUACCCACACCUGCCCAUUGUUAUCUCUCCUGUUAGUUACCCUAUAUUAUGCCCUUGUGUCUUCAGUCCUGUGCUCGUCCGCGUUUUGUAGCAUUUGCUUGUUUCGUUCGAUUGCUGUUUGCUGCAUUUGAUUCAUGUCUUUGAAGACGUUGCGUCUUGUUCCUGUCUGUAAGUUAUCCCAGUGUCGUUUUGUCAAGUGUAGUUUUAGUCCAGUGUUAGUUAGUCUACGUUCCUGUUUGCCUGUCAUAUUAUUUCUCCUUGUUAUUGUUGUUUUACCCCCCCCCCGUGGGUCUUUGUUUUGUGUUUAAAUAAAUCUUGUUUUUUGUUACCCCUUAACCGCUGCCUGCAUCUGGGUUCUUCCCUACCACACCAUGACAGUAGUACCAGUUAACGUUUAAAUCCUUACCUGUAAUAAAGUAAAUCCAUGCAUAAAAUGGGACACAGCCAUGCCUGAAGGAACCACAGUCACGUAUUUAUUGAAACGCUGCAGGUCAUGACUAAACUAAAGUUUUGUAUUAUAGCACCCGUUACAUGCUUAAUAUAUAGUAUUUUAACAAUACGAUGUAUUUCACUAAUCUAUAUUACACGUUCAUUCCCCCCAAAAUGAGCACUUGUAAAGCACAUUUGCUAUGGGUGAAUACCACCCGGAAGCUUUCCCGCCCCCUGAGAUUUGACUGGAAAUACGUAGGCGUAUUGAGUGUAUUAUGUACUAGAAACUGAUUUAGAUAAAAGCAUUUGCUCUAUGACAUCCAUACUGUUUAUAUGGAAUUGUAGUAUAUGAAACUUACCAAAAAUGUAUAAAAGGUGUAUUGUUACAGUCAUCCCAACAACUGUCUGCUGUAUCCAGCAGCUCAUAAUAUCUGGAUGAGGAAUUGUCGGGUUACAGUCGAGUAAUGAAGCACACAGAUGGAGGCAUCAUGUUUGUGCAUUUCUCUGCAGCAGGAACUGAAAAAGGACGGCAUGAUGAAUGGAUGGAGUGUGUAUAGAAAAAUCCUGGAGAAAGUCCAGCUAUCAGAACCGCCUUGGGACUUGAGAGAUGGCUCAAUGACUAACAGAAAAUACUGUAGAAAUCACAUCAGACUGUCUUUGAACUUAAAUAUUUUGUAUAGACAUGUCAGAGAUCACAUGUUGAACUCCAUUGUUUUAAUACUGCUCAUAUUUAUCAUUGAUUUGGUUUUGUUGGCUGCCGUAUUUAAAAAAAGUAAAAGGGUUGAACAUUUGAUCAGAAUUCAGUCACAUUCAGCUCCAUCGCACAAUCUUUCUCUCUUUCCAAACUUGUGCACGUAAGUAAUCAUUUACACAUCAACUAUAAAUAUACACUCACUCAAAAAAUGUUGGGUUGUAAAUUAACCUGUGCUGGGAUGUUUCAACCCAUUUUUGGGUCAAAUAUAAAUAUUUUUCUGGGUUAAUUUAACCUUUUUUGACCCAAUGCUAGGUUGAAAAUAACCCGGCAUUUUUUUAGAAUGUACACUCUAAAAUACCUUGGGUUAUUUCAACCCAGUGUUGGGUCAAAAAUGGACAAACCCAACCGUUGGGUAUUAAACAGAACUAUGCUGGGUCAACCCAAAUUGCUUGGUUGUUUUUCAAAUAUAAACCAUUUACUGGGUUAUUUUACCCAAAGCUUGGGUUUGUCCAUUUUUGACCCAACUGUUAAAAAUAGCCCAGGAAAAAAUGACAGAAGUUUGUUUAAUAAAUCCCUCUUUUAUUUUUCUGUUCUACAGGUGAACCAUUAACUAUCGAUUCUCCUUAGUUCUGAUGUCCCAACAUUAAAUUUUAAUAUUAAAUUGAUUCAAUUAUAUGUUGACAUGUAGUUUAAUAUCCUCUCUAUCUUUACUUUGCUGUGGAGUGAUUCACUUUCCCACAGGACAACAGGAACAGGCUGCAGCAGUUUAUCCGGAGCAGGCCAGAGGAAGAUAAAUAUACGGGUGAGAUACUUGUACGCUGUUGAUACCUGACACGAGAAGAGGAGGCUGCAUUCCCCCAACAAUAAGAGAUCUCCAGACUGGAUUAGGGUUGGGCUAAGAGGCAUAUAAAGUCAAGCCAUUACCCCGUGAUCGCUGCUGGAAUGGGGCUGGAGAUAACAUCACGGCACGCAGUGGGAAGAGAGGCUUCGCCUAGGCCUGUGUGCUUCUUUUCCACGUCUUUCAGUCGCUGAUAAACCCUGUCUGAUGAGAUUGGACUUCGGGUUUACACUGUGAAUGAUGAAGUUCAUGGCUCAGUGGAGUUUGAUGGAAGUCUGAAGUCCUUCGAUGGGAAGGUGAAGUCCAAUCCCUUCAUUUGAGAUUUCUUAAGAAAAGGCAUCGUCAUGACAUCUUCGAAAUGUUCUGAGGAGAUAACAGAAGAGAAUGAUUACGGAGCCGGUUGGAUGAGACAGCUCGCGCGGGUGGGUCCAGAAUCUCUGUGAGGAAUGCGAGUGAUUCCAGAACCCUGCUGAGGUCUUCAGAUCCCAGGGAACAGCAAGAUCUUCUGCCAUGCUGCCUGUGGGGAUUGCAGUGGGAAAUGUUGGCGUCUCAUAAGACAGACAGUUGAGAGACUCGACUCCUCCGCCGGAAGCUUUUGGCCAGAGAAAUGUGCUGUCAGCCGCCCACCUUCAGAUGAUCGGACGCCGUCGAGAGGCGGCAGAAACCUUGUAAGUCAGACAUGUCAACAUGAUGGACUUUAAAUGGAAUUGGAAUUGAGAUAAUAGCCCAGACACUCAGUCGCUCUGACGCCCUCCAAGCGACAAAGCGAGGCGAUGUCAUUCAUUUCAAUGGAGAGCCGGCGACACGAGCAACAGUGACCGUUGGCGAAUGAAGUGGGCAUGUCUAGCGACGUGACAAAGUUGAGAUUUGGUCAACUUUAUGCAAAUGAUGAGUGACUUUCGGGAGCGACUCAAAGGGAGUAAUGCAGUGGAGCUCAUGUCAUCCGUCUCUCGUCAGUUACUGCAGUGUUUGUUUAUAAAUGUUACUAGAGUAAAUAAAGCUAGGAACGCCUUCUAACGACCUCGUAGCAAAAGACUAGCGACACAGUCACAACGCACAGUGAGAGUCAGUCACAA
Molecule: long non-coding RNA, 3171 nt
Organism: Triplophysa rosa
Lineage: Eukaryota; Metazoa; Chordata; Actinopteri; Cypriniformes; Nemacheilidae
Exons: 5
Source: RefSeq, a predicted model, not a curated record